RNAcentral lists this long non-coding RNA (3247 nucleotides) under Homo sapiens (human). RNAcentral describes it as "non-protein coding lnc-RMND5A-3:1". Lineage: Eukaryota; Metazoa; Chordata; Mammalia; Primates; Hominidae. The record is from RNAcentral.
CUGUUCUGCAGGUCUCACCGCAGAGGGGCACGCCAGCCAUGAGGACAGAUGAGGGAACACGUGAUGCCACGAUGGGGGUGCCAGGAUGAGGUGGGUGCGGUCGCGGACAGGCGCACGAGGAGCCCAGCGGAGCGCCACCCGGAGCAGGCGCGGAGGAGGGCUGGGGAGGGCCACCAAGGCGACGAGAGCCGGUGUGCCUGAAUCAGCCUAAAGGAGACGGAGGAGGAGUGUGGUGGGCGCAGGGGCAGGGAGCUGGGGGAAGGGCGGGGGGCUAGCCCAGGCUGAAGGCAGGCAGGAGCAGGGCCGCGAUGUCAGACAAGAAACGGCAGCAGUGUGUUUGGGAACCUAGCACCAACCGCACCGGUGGAGACAGGGUCUGCUGUAGAGGAGGUGGGGCCGGGUCCCAGCUAAGUAAGGCGGUGGAUCUUGCAGCCCUUCCAUCCUCAGCCGCUCAUUCUGCGCAAAUCUCGGGGCCAGCCUUGGUGGAGCCGUAAAGCGUCCACCAGAACCUGGAUCCCUCCGCCACCUUUCCCAUGAAUUCACCUUUCUGUACACAGCAAGCGCCUGAGCGGAGACGGCCGACACGUUUCCCACUGUUACCCCAGGAAACCGCGGCUCCUGAGGGGGUCAGGGCCUGGGCAGGGGGCAGAGCUCAGCGCGCCGUACUGAGGCAGAAACGGGGUCCAGAGAGGGUGGGGUGGGGGUACAGGGAAGGGUCGCCCGAAGGUCCCUGGCGCAGGGAGGACAGAGGAGGGAUCUAGAAUUCGUAGGGGAGAAGAGAACUCAGAAAAGAUCCGGCCCAGCGCAUUUAUUUUACAGAGGAAGAAAAACUGAGGCCCAGGGAGGGUAAGUACUGCAGGUAACUAGGCACUAGCAGCAGGGGCACUAGCAGCAGGGACACUCCCUAUCUCGCCUGUCACCCGCGUCCAGCAAAAUCUGAUGCCCUGUCGGCCCAGCAGGGGGCGGUGCUGCUUUAGUUUUGGCCUGGUCGGGGUUGAGCGGAGGAGGGAGCGACUUCGAAUUCAGUCUGCACCUGACUGACCUCGAGCAAAAACGAAGCGGGCGCACGUUACCGUCUUCCAUCUGGGGGCCCAGCAGCCUCCAUCUUCGCCCUAGCCCCUACAGCCUCGUCCCUGGCUGGGGCUCCAGCUCCCCAAUUUCUCACCCUCACCACCAGGAGCUACUUAUCUUAUCACAGGCUCACUUAGAUUACCACUAGGAGAUUACCACUCGGGUGGGGUGGAGGUGCGGUGGGAUUCGCAUUUUGCAAGGGAUCAAAAGAGCGGCUAAUUAUGGCAUUUCUAGCCCAAGGCAUUGGCCAGAGAUAUUGCGGGUAGGCCCCUUAACCUCCCAGCAUCUCGCAGUAUCUACCGAUUAGUGCUGAGCCUCCUGUGCAAUGCAUCCGUCUAUAGAUAUGGCCAGAAUGGGCCGGGCUUGGUGCGCGGUGGCUCACUGCUGUAAUUCCAACACUUUGGGAGGCCGAGGCGGUCGGAUCAACUGAGGUCAGGAGUUCGAGACCAGCCUGGCCAAUAUGGCGAAAUCCUGUUUCUACUUUAAAAACAAACAAACAAACAAACAAAAAACAAAAAAAAAACUAGCCGGGCGUGAUGGCGCAAGCCUGUAGUCCUAGCUACUGGGGAGGCUGAGGCAGAAGAAUCGUUUGAACCCUGGAGGCGGAAGUUGCAGCGAGCGGAGAUCGAGUCACUGCACUCCAGGCUGGGGGAUAGAGCGAGACUCCCAUCUCAAAAUAAAAAAUAAUAAUAAUAAUUUUUUAAAAAGAAAGAAAUGGCCAGAAUGCCAAAGCUUUAAUGGUGGGUAGAAGUCCCCAGACUUGAGAGUCUCGUUCUCCCAACUCUCCUUCCCCGUCAGAAAGUGCGAAGGGACUGGAAUGGAGAUCCUGAGCGGUCCUGGGUGCCGGGGCCCCGACCGGGGCUGAGCUGGUCCCCUGGUCGGGACGGCUGGGCAGAGGUGCCGAGGGGCCGCGGGCGGCCCUUCGCUGGCUCAUUCGCAUCCGCAGCCCCUCAAGAAGGCCCUGGGCCCGCAGGGAGGAAGAGGUGAGCACCCGACAGGAAGGAGAUGGGCUUGGGGGCUCGGGGCGUGCCCUGGGGCAGGUGGAGCGUCCGGCCUCUGAUGUCCCGCGCAGGACACUGAGGUCGCGGUGCAGAGAAGGGUCGGCUUGAGGAUCUGACAGCCUUGCCCGCGUUGGAGACGGGGAAAGGCUCGCAGAACUAAGGUGCGGGGCGGGGGUGCGGGUGCCAAGGUCCCUCUGAGGUUCGUUUGGCUUAUUCACCGAUUUCAUUCCGCUCUUGGUUUUAGUUUACCUGGAAGGUCCUCUCCUGCGCUGGCUCUGGGGGUGCUUGGAACCAGAGCCCCUUAGUCGAAGCGCGUCCUGCUGCCAGCUACUACCAAGUCCUUAGGCCGAGCCCGUUUCUCUCCUGGUGAUGUGAAUCCUCGUUUUUUGUUGUUGUUGUUGUCGUUUACUGAAGUCCCGGGCUGAUUAGACACAGCAAUGGAAGCUGGGGGUGGCCUGGGCCGUGCAUUGAAUUUGUGACUUUAGCAAGUCCCUAAAUUCCUCUCUGCCUCACUUUUGCUGUCUUUUUUAGGUUAAAAAUAUUUUGGAGAAUAGAAAACAGAACAAAACAAAAAUAAUGGCUUAUAGUGCCAAUAUGGAAUUAUAGUCACUCCUAACAUUUUGGUAUAUUGUUUUGCAUUUGCUUUGUUUCUAUUCUAUGCUUAUAUAUUUUUAAUUUUUUUCCAUCACUGUCAUCAUAUUUCCUAUUCAGGUCUCCAGCCUGCUUUAAAAAUUUUUUAAUCAUAAAGUUCCAUAAAAAUUUUAUUUCAGCCAAUUUCUUUUAUAACACGUUCUUCAUGAAUCUUAUCUGAUAUCUGCAUAAUAUUCCACUCAUACUUUGCACAAUUAGACAUUAAGGUCGUGUGUACUUUUUAAAUUAUGAUACAGCAAUUUCUAAAUAGUGUAUAAUUUCAAUUUUUGUUUCUUAGUUAUCAUAACAGUUCUUAAAAGGUGAUAACAAAUUUUUAAGUGGAUACAUUUUUUCCCCCUUCUUUGGUUUAUAAUUUUAUUGCUCUGUGGUCUGAGAAUGUGGCUGUAUUUACGCUUUUUGAAAUUGAAGUUUUUGAUUGAUGGUUGAUUUCGUAAAUAAGUUUAGGCACAGUUUUGUAUAAAUGAUUGGGCACAAAAUUCUUUAUAUUAGAUCAAGCUUUGUAAAAUGUAUUAUCCAUAUCUGCU